AAUUUGUGGUGCAAACAUUUUUGAAUCAACAUUUUGAAAUGUUCCCAUACCUCAUAGAAAAUUUCUCCUUUCAUUUGUCUAAGACAUCAAUCUCUCGUCUAAGCU
RNAcentral lists this small nucleolar RNA (105 nucleotides) under Gossypium hirsutum (cotton). RNAcentral describes it as "Plant small nucleolar RNA R71". It matches the Rfam family "Plant small nucleolar RNA R71". From Rfam's summary of the family: R71 is a member of the C/D box family of snoRNAs containing the C (UGAUGA) and D (CUGA) box motifs. Multiple nearly identical copies of this snoRNA have been identified in Arabidopsis, and it is thought to function as a 2'-O-ribose methylation guide for 18S ribosomal RNA. Lineage: Eukaryota; Viridiplantae; Streptophyta; Magnoliopsida; Malvales; Malvaceae. The record is from Rfam by way of RNAcentral.